AUUAUUAAAUUUAAUAUGUUUAUCUAUAAACUAAUAUUUAUAUUGAUCAACCAUUAAUAUUUUUAUUAAUCUAAUUAAUUUUUUUAUUAGUUAUCUAGUUAAAAUGAUUUACUAACUGAUUAAAAAGUUAAAUUAUUUUUUUUAUAUUUAAUUAAUUAAUUAAUAUAUUUUUAAUAUCUUAUACACUAUUCAUAGCUAAUAAAUUUUUUAAUUUAUUAAAUUAAUUUUAAGCAAUAUUUUGAUGUUAAUUAAUUAGAUAAAAUAAUUUUAAUUUUAAAUUAUAACACUUAUUUCUCUCGUUCCAAUCUAACCAUCCAAACAUUAUUUAUCUUAUUCCUACAAACAACUCAAUUUUCAUACAAACGCAAAAUUCGUCUAGUCUCUGUUUAUACCUGAACUUGUACCUAUAUCUAAAAAAAGCAGUUCUUAUGUAUAUCCAAACCAAACGCAACUGGUACCAUGUAUAAGCCCAC
This 473-nucleotide long non-coding RNA is filed under the name Ananas comosus (pineapple). RNAcentral's name for it is "long non-coding RNA (ACOM_LNC029333)". The record is from RNAcentral. Lineage: Eukaryota; Viridiplantae; Streptophyta; Magnoliopsida; Poales; Bromeliaceae.